AGGACGAACGCUGGCGGCGUGCUUAACACAUGCAAGUCGAGCGGUAAGGCCCUUUCGGGGGUACACGAGCGGCGAACGGGUGAGUAACACGUGAGGAACCUGCCCCGAAGACCGGGAUAACCCUCCGAAAGGAGAGCUAAUACCGGAUACCCCAACCGAACCGCAUGGCUCGGUGAGGAAAUGGAUUCCGCUUCGGGAGGGUCUCGCGGCCUAUCAGCUUGUUGGUGGGGUAACGGCCCACCAAGGCAUCGACGGGUAGCUGGUCUGAGAGGACGAUCAGCCACACUGGGACUGAGACACGGCCCAGACUCCUACGGGAGGCAGCAGUAGGGAAUCUUGCGCAAUGGGCGAAAGCCUGACGCAGCAACGCCGCGUGGGGGAUGAAGGCUCUCGGGUUGUAAACCCCUUUCAGUGGGACGAAUCAAGACGGUACCCACAGAAGAAGCUCCGGCUAACUACGCGCCAGCAGCCGC
RNAcentral lists this ribosomal RNA (473 nucleotides) under uncultured bacterium. RNAcentral describes it as "SSU rRNA". It matches the Rfam family "Bacterial small subunit ribosomal RNA", at positions 26 to 518 of the family's 1533-position model. The record is from RNAcentral.